Molecule: ribosomal RNA, 305 nt
Filed under: uncultured bacterium
Lineage: Bacteria
Description: bacterial SSU rRNA
Rfam family: Bacterial small subunit ribosomal RNA
Source: RNAcentral
GGGUGCCUACGGGACGCAGCAGUGAGGAAUAUUGGUCAAUGGUCGGGAGACUGAACCAGCCAAGCCGCGUGAGGGAUGAAGGUACAGAGUAUCGUAAACCUCUUUUGUCAGGGAACAAAGGCGGGGACGUGUCCCCGGAUGAGUGUACCUGAAGAAAAAGCAUCGGCUAACUCCGUGCCAGCAGCCGCGGUAAUACGGAGGAUGCGAGCGUUAUCCGGAUUUACUGGGGGUAAAGGGAGCGUAGACGGUGCAGCAAGUCUGAUGUGAAAGGUCGGGGCCCAACCCCGGGACUGCAUUGGAAACUG